This 72-nucleotide transfer RNA is filed under the name bacterium. Its description in RNAcentral is "tRNA-Met". It matches the Rfam family "tRNA". From Rfam's summary of the family: Transfer RNA (tRNA) molecules are approximately 80 nucleotides in length. Their secondary structure includes four short double-helical elements and three loops (D, anti-codon, and T loops). The record is from RNAcentral.
GCCAAGGUAGCUCAGUGGUAGAGCAUGCGUUUCAUAAGCGCGAGAUCGUGGGUUCGAUCCCCACCCUUGGCA